AUGGCUUCUCAGCUUUUGGCUAAAAUCACAUGUAGCAUAUGUUAUCAGUUUAAUAUCUAGUGUGUCCUCUAUCUAACAACAAUAAAGUCAAUGGAUUUUUAUUUAAACAGGGAGAAAGAUUAAGAGCCUUCUCCACCUACCCCAUGCAUCCACCUGGUACUCGAAUGCCUCCCACAGUGCACCUCAU
This 187-nucleotide small nuclear RNA is filed under the name Neotoma lepida (desert woodrat). RNAcentral describes it as "U2 spliceosomal RNA". It matches the Rfam family "U2 spliceosomal RNA". Rfam says of the family: U2 is a small nuclear RNA (snRNA) component of the spliceosome (involved in pre-mRNA splicing). Complementary binding between U2 snRNA (in an area lying towards the 5' end but 3' to hairpin I) and the branchpoint sequence (BPS) of the intron results the bulging out of an unpaired adenosine, on the BPS, which initiates a nucleophilic attack at the intronic 5' splice site, thus starting the first of two transesterification reactions that mediate splicing. Lineage: Eukaryota; Metazoa; Chordata; Mammalia; Rodentia; Cricetidae. The record is from Rfam by way of RNAcentral.